This 180-nucleotide ribosomal RNA is filed under the name Lonsdalea quercina. Its description in RNAcentral is "16S rRNA. Bacterial SSU". It matches the Rfam family "Bacterial small subunit ribosomal RNA", at positions 1 to 172 of the family's 1533-position model. The record is from RNAcentral. Lineage: Bacteria; Pseudomonadati; Pseudomonadota; Gammaproteobacteria; Enterobacterales; Pectobacteriaceae.
UUUAAUUGAAGAGUUUGAUCAUGGCUCAGAUUGAACGCUGGCGGCAGGCCUAACACAUGCAAGUCGAGCGGCAGCGGAAGGAAGCUUGCUUCCUUGCCGGCGAGCGGCGGACGGGUGAGUAAUGUCUGGGGAUCUGCCCGAUGGAGGGGGAUAACUACUGGAAACGGUAGCUAAUACCGC